Molecule: long non-coding RNA, 1456 nt
Organism: Canis lupus familiaris (dog)
Lineage: Eukaryota; Metazoa; Chordata; Mammalia; Carnivora; Canidae
Exons: 11
Source: RefSeq, a predicted model, not a curated record
UAUGACCUCACAGAAAUGUAAAUGUUGUCAGGGCAGAGAACAUGUCUUUCCUAUUCAGCAUAGAUACCUUAUACAUAGUGUAGCUACUGAUGCAAUAGGUGCUCAGUAAAUGUCUGUAGGAUGGGUAAGUCACCAGCAGUGAAACUUUACUACCCUAUGAUAAUGGGACAUGAUGUGUUGGAACCAGAGAUCUUGUAGAACUCAAGACUUAGAAGAGGGAGAAAAGAAAAUGAGAAUCCAAUGGAGCCCAGCUUGAUAAGGGCAACACACCAAGUUUGAAGAUGAUCACCAGAAUGACAUCAAGUCAAGAGAUUAUCAUGCUUGUUGUAUCCACAUUCCAGGACCUCCAUUAACUCUCUGGACAUCAUCAGACACUGUGAAAAAUGCUGAAGACAGGACAAUAUGACCCUGAGCUGAGAAGAUUAAUAACCGCCAAUGUUUUAAUGCUGCUGAUCCUUCCUGACACUCCUCUCAUCUCUCCAUCAACAUUAUCCAAAGUUUUGUAGUGAUUUGAAGUUGUGCAGUGGUGCAAGUCUACCUGGAGUUCAGCAUUAGAGAACCCACAAUUGCUGUACCUAGCCACAUUCUCUUCUAUCAGCUCUAUCAGGAUAAAGCUAACAUUCAAUUGCCAUCUGCCUGACCACCUUGCCUUACCUCUCAAUGGGUUUAAACUUCAGUCAAUGGAUAAAGGAGAUGUGUAAGAAGAACUUAUUGUAUGUCUGGCACUGCACUAGAAAGGCACUAGAAAGGUGAGCCAAGCUGAUGAAGUUCUGGCCUCAUGGAACAUACACUCUUUGGAUUAAGAUCAUUUAUUCUACAGGCUGUACAAAUACCCACCAUUUGCUUCAACGUGGAUGGAACUGGAGGGUAUUAUGCUGAGUGAAGUUAUUGUGUGCAGAUGGCUUUGUUUUCACCCUUGGAGCAGGACACCAUGGCUAAACCACUGUCUGGUAAUUUCAUUGUCUCCAGGCCUCAUUUACAGCCUUGAAGAGAGUCAGAAUAGCCUUUGCUUACCCAUCCAAUAAUUAUGGUUGCUGUGCAUGACUGAAAGAAUGGCUAUUUUCUAAUGACAAGGUGGUUUGGUUCAGAGAAGACAAGCUGACAUAAUGACAUCAAGCAGAGGGACCAGAGUAUGCUGGGUGAUGUGUAGGCAAUCAAGUUAAGGUUUCUGAAUGAAAACUCAAUCUCCUUCAGAAAUUGCCUCAGCCACCCCAGUCUUCAGCAACCAUCACCCUGAUUAACUGGCAGCCAUCAAUAUCAAAGCAAGAUCCUCCACCAGCUAGAAGAUUAUGACUGGCUGAAAGCUCAGAUUCUUUCUUUGAACUAAAUGAUGUCAUGACUGUGAGAAAUGGAGCCUGUAUUUGGUGUAAUAAAGACAAACAAUCCUAGUGGCCUAUCCUCCCAAACAUGAAAUACUCCAUCCCAUGUCAUUUGUGUGGGAGUUUAUAACAAGUAG